This 354-nucleotide ribosomal RNA is filed under the name uncultured bacterium. RNAcentral describes it as "bacterial SSU rRNA". It matches the Rfam family "Bacterial small subunit ribosomal RNA", at positions 1045 to 1397 of the family's 1533-position model. The record is from RNAcentral.
AUGGCUGUCGUCAGCUCGUGUCGUGAGAUGUUGGGUUAAGUCCCGCAACGAGCGUAACCCUUGUCGCUAGUUACCAGCGGGUAAUGCCGGGGACUCUAGUGAGACCGCCUGCGCAAGCAGUGAGGAAGGUGGGGAUGACGUCAAGUCAUCAUGGUCCUUACGCCUAGGGCUGCACACGUGCUACAAUGGCCGGUACAACGAGCAGCCACCUCGCGAGAGGGAGCGAAUCUCUUAAAGCCGGUCCCAGUUCGGAUUGGAGUCUGCAACUCGACUCCAUGAAGCAGGAAUCGCUAGUAAUCGCGGAUCAGCAAUGCCGCGAUGAAUCCGUUCCCGGGCCUUGUACACACCGCCCGU